AGUGGGAUUGCUGGGUCAUAUGGUGGUAGUUCUAUUUUUAAUUUUUGAGGAAACUCCAUACUGAUUUCUAUAAAUAGCUUCACCAGUUUACAUUCCCAUCAGUAAU
Molecule: microRNA precursor, 106 nt
Filed under: Marmota monax (woodchuck)
Lineage: Eukaryota; Metazoa; Chordata; Mammalia; Rodentia; Sciuridae
Source: RNAcentral